GAUGAACGCUAGCGCCAGGCGUAAUACAUGCAAGUCGGACGGGAUUGAGAAGCUGGCUUUUCAUGAGAGUGGCGCACGGGUGCGUAACACGUAUGUAACCUACCUCAAUCAGGGGGAUAGCCUCUCGAAAGAGAGAUUAACAUCCCAUAAAAUCAAUUUAUGACAUCAUAGAAUGAUCAAAUAAUUAUAGGAUUAUGAUGGGCAUGCGGAACAUUAGCUAGUUGGUAAGGUAACGGCUUACCCAGGCUACGAUGUUUAGGGGAUCUGCGAGGACGACCCCCCACGCUGGUACUGAGACGCGAACCGGACUCCUGCGGGGGGCAGCGUGAAGUAAUCUUGGUAGAUGGGCACAAGCCUGAACCGGCCGUGCCGCGUGCAGGAAGACGUCCCUACGGGUUGUAAACUGCUUUUGUACCGGAAUAAGCCUUUGUAUGUAUACGAAGCUGAAUGUACGGUAAGAAUAAGGAUCGGCUAACUCGGUGCCAGCGGCCGCCGUAA
Molecule: ribosomal RNA, 498 nt
Filed under: uncultured bacterium
Lineage: Bacteria
Description: partial 16S ribosomal RNA
Rfam family: Bacterial small subunit ribosomal RNA
Source: RNAcentral